RNAcentral lists this ribosomal RNA (402 nucleotides) under uncultured bacterium. RNAcentral describes it as "partial 16S ribosomal RNA". It matches the Rfam family "Bacterial small subunit ribosomal RNA", at positions 355 to 774 of the family's 1533-position model. The record is from RNAcentral.
UGGGGAAUAUUGGACAAUGGGCGAAAGCCUGAUCCAGCCAUGCCGCAUGAGUGAAGAAGGCCUUUGGGUUGUAAAGCUCUUUUAGUGAGGAAGAUAAUGACGGUACUCACAGAAGAAGUCCUGGCUAACUCCGUGCCAGCAGCCGCGGUAAUACGGAGAGGGCUAGCGUUAUUCGGAAUUAUUGGGCGUAAAGGGCGCGUAGGCUGGUUAAUAAGUUAAAAGUGAAAUCCCGAGGCUUAACCUUGGAAUUGCUUUUAAAACUAUUAAUCUAGAGAUUGAAAGAGGAUAGAGGAAUUCCUGAUGUAGAGGUAAAAUUCGUAAAUAUUAGGAGGAACACCAGUGGCGAAGGCGACCACCUGGACUAAUACUGACACUGAGGUGCGAAAGCGUGGGGAGCAAACA